AUACGUAGGGGGCAAGCGUUAUCCGGAUUUACUGGGUGUAAAGGGAGCGUAGACGGUUCUGCAAGUCAGGGGUGAAAUCCCGGGGCUCAACCUCGGAACUGCCUUUGAUACUGGGUGUCUAGAGUGUGGAAGAGGUAAGUGGAAUUCCUAGUGUAGCGGUGAAAUGCGUAGAUAUUAGGAGGAACACCAGUGGCGAAGGCGGCUUACUGGACUGUAACUGACGUUGAGGCUCGAAAGCGUGGGGAGC
Molecule: ribosomal RNA, 247 nt
Filed under: uncultured bacterium
Lineage: Bacteria
Description: partial 16S ribosomal RNA
Rfam family: Bacterial small subunit ribosomal RNA
Source: RNAcentral